This 520-nucleotide ribosomal RNA is filed under the name uncultured bacterium. Its description in RNAcentral is "bacterial SSU rRNA". It matches the Rfam family "Bacterial small subunit ribosomal RNA", at positions 28 to 533 of the family's 1533-position model. The record is from RNAcentral.
GAUGAACGCUAGCGGCAGGCCUAACACAUGCAAGUCGAGGGGCAUCAUGGCGUAGCAAUACGCUGAUGGCGACCGGCGCACGGGUGCGUAACGCGUAUGGAACCUACCCACCGCAGGGGGAUAACCCGCCGAAAGGCGGACUAAUACCCCAUGGUUCCCCGACCCUGCCUGGGGUUGGGGGUAAAGCCUACGGGCGGCGGUGGAUGGCCCUGCGUGCCAUUAGCUGGCUGGUGGGGUAACGGCCCACCAGGGCGACGAUGGCUAGGGGGUCUGAGAGGACGAUCCCCCACACUGGUACUGAGACACGGACCAGACUCCUACGGGAGGCAGCAGGUGAGGAAUAUUGGUCAAUGGGCGGAAGCCUGAACCAGCCAUGCCGCGUGCAGGAUGACGGCCCUACGGGUUGUAAACUCCUGUCGAGGGGGAAGAAGGCACCUGGGUUAAUAGCCAAGGGCUGACGGUACCCCAGACGGAAGCCACGGCUAACUACGUGCCAGCAGCCGCGGUAAGCACGAGAGUA